Molecule: RNA transcript, 1683 nt
Organism: Phalaenopsis equestris
Lineage: Eukaryota; Viridiplantae; Streptophyta; Magnoliopsida; Asparagales; Orchidaceae
Gene name: N-glycosylase/DNA lyase OGG1
Source: RefSeq, a predicted model, not a curated record
UCAUGAGUCAGCGGCGGCGGCUGAAGACGACGCCGCCGCCUACUCCGGUGAACUUCUCCAUUACUCCUCUUUCACCUUUGCAUCCUACAACACCUCCAAAGGAAGAAUCCAGCUCCUCAACCUCCUUCCGCUCUCGAACUCAAAGAUCUCUUACCCCUUCUCUUCUAGACUUGGCAGCCCUUGACGAUGGGGACUGGCACACCCUUGGCCUCUCGAGAUCGGAGCUAUCACUUCUCCACACUCUCCCCACCGGUCAGACAUUUCGUUGGCGUCGAACCGGACCCUCCCAGUUCACCGGUGUCGUUGGUCCCUACCUCCUGUCUCUCAAGCACGCCGAUGGAGAUGAUGAUCCUUCUGGUCGCAUCCACUUCUUUCUCCACAAUUCGUCAGACGCUGCUUCCACGCGGGCUGCGCUGAGUGACUAUCUUAACGUCGAGAUCUCCCUCACCGCUCUGUGGCGAGGUUUUUCUGCGGCGGAUCCGCGGUUUGAUGAGAUAGCUCGACGAUUCGAUGGCGGGGCCCGUGUUCUGCGACAGGAUCCGGUGGAGUGCGUUUUUCAGUUCCUCUGCUCUUCGAACAAUAACAUUGCGAGGAUUGAGAAGAUGGUCGGGGUUCUGUCUUCGUUUGGCGAGCAUUUAGGGACGGUUGGUGGGUUUCAUUUCCAUGAGUUUCCCACACUUGAGAGGCUUUCUGCUGUCACCGAGCAACAGCUCAGAGAAGCUGGAUUUGGUUAUAGAGCAAAGUAUAUUGUUGGUGCGGUCAAAGCUUUACAAGCAAAGCCUGGCGGGGGUGUGGAAUGGCUUGCUUCUCUCCGCAGCUUGGAUCUACAUGAUGUGUUAGAUGCUCUUUGUUCCCUGCCUGGAGUUGGACCAAAAGUUGCUGCCUGUAUUGCUCUGUUUUCUCUUGAUCAGCAUCAUGCAAUUCCAGUUGAUACUCAUGUGUGGCAGAUCGCUACACGCUACUUCAUACCAGAGCUUUCUGGCACCCAACUGACUCCAAAGCUUUGCGCUCGUGUGGCGGAUAUAUUCAUUGCAAGGUUUGGAAAAUAUGCUGGUUGGGCGCAGAAUGUAUUGUUCAUUGGUGAUUUACCUUCUCAGAAGGCACUUCUACCAGCACAGUUGUUGGCUAAUAAAAAAUCAAAAUCUGCUAAGAGGAAGCGUAGCAACAGAAAAUUUAAACUUGAGUAACUCGAAAUUAUGCUUGAAAGCUUCACUUAGCCAACUCCUGAAGCCAAAUUUUCCUUUUCUGAAGUAGAUCAAUAUUCUUGAGAGCUGAAGGGGUACUUAAAUAAGCAUCUGCGGCUUUCCAAUGCAGCUUCUCAAUUAUUUAAUUUUUCUAUUUUCCAGGAAUGCUCAACUUGCUCCACAACAUAGUUGCAAAACUACUCCUGACAUCAACUCACCAAAGAAGAUCAACUUGCUCCAUAGCCGAGCUGAUUUAUAGAAGGGUUACCCGAUAAUUAGUUUUUUGAAAGGCAUUUUUAUAAGGAGAAAUCUGCAAUGCAAGACAUUAUCAAGAUAUUAAUUAUAAUGCCAUGCCAGAAGAAGGCAGAGAGUUAGAUUGAGGAAUUCUUGAUAUUUGUGUGUAAUGAGUACUUGAUUUGUAACAGUAAGUUAGUCUCUCUAUGAAUGGAAGUAUUAUUGUUAAAUAGAGGAUGUCCCCAUAUAUUAAAAGACCAAUUUU